UCCGGUUUGUCACCGGCAGUCUCGUUAAAGUGCCCAACUAAAUGAUGGCAAUUAACGACAAGGGUUGCGCUCGUUGCGGGACUUAACCCAACAUCUCACGACACGAGCUGACGACAGCCAUGCAGCACCUGUGUUCCCGUUCCCUUUCGGGCACAGCCCCAUCUCUGGAGCCUCCAGGACAUGUCAAGGGUAGGUAAGGUUUUUCGCGUUGCAUCGAAUUAAUCCACAUAAUCCACCGCUUGUGCGGGUCCCCGUCAAUUCCUUUGAGUUUUAACCUUGCGGCCGUACUCCCCAGGCGGCUCACUUCACGCGUUAGCUACGGUACGGAAUCCGUUGAGUGAAUCCCACACCUAGUGCCCACCGUUUACGGCGUGGACUAC
Molecule: unclassified non-coding RNA, 380 nt
Filed under: uncultured Gammaproteobacteria bacterium
Lineage: Bacteria; Pseudomonadati; Pseudomonadota; Gammaproteobacteria
Description: contains 16S-23S intergenic spacer region
Source: RNAcentral